AUUGGUGUGGCAGAGUUCGGUAAUUGCUAAAGAUCUAAGUCCUUUCCACGGAGGUUCAAGUCCUCCCUCCAAUA
This 74-nucleotide transfer RNA is filed under the name Omosudis lowii (hammerjaw). RNAcentral describes it as "tRNA-Leu". It matches the Rfam family "tRNA". From Rfam's summary of the family: Transfer RNA (tRNA) molecules are approximately 80 nucleotides in length. Their secondary structure includes four short double-helical elements and three loops (D, anti-codon, and T loops). The record is from RNAcentral. Lineage: Eukaryota; Metazoa; Chordata; Actinopteri; Aulopiformes; Alepisauridae.